CCUACGGGAGGCAGCAGUGGGGAAUAUUGCACAAUGGGGGAAACCCUGAUGCAGCGACGCCGCGUGAGUGAAGAAGUAAUUCGUUACGUAAAGCUCUAUCAGCAGGGAAGAAACACUGACCUUACGGUCAGCAGACGGUACCUGAGUAAGAAGCCCCGGCUAACUACGUGCCAGCAGCCGCGGUAAUACGCAGGGGGCAAGCGUUAUCCGGAGUUACUGGGGGUAAAGGGAGCGUAGACGGUGCUCCAAGUCUGGAGGGAAAUGCCGCAGCUUAACUGCGGAACUGCUUUGGAAACUGGCGAACUAGAGUGCGGGAGGGGUAAGCGGAAUUCCUGGUGUAGCGGUGAAAUGCGUAGAUAUUAGGCGGAACACCGGUGGCGAAGGCGGCUUACUGGACCGUAACUGACGUUGAGGCUCGAAAGCGUGGGGAGCAAACAGGAUUAGAUACCCCGGUAGUC
RNAcentral lists this ribosomal RNA (458 nucleotides) under uncultured bacterium. RNAcentral describes it as "partial 16S ribosomal RNA". It matches the Rfam family "Bacterial small subunit ribosomal RNA", at positions 338 to 795 of the family's 1533-position model. The record is from RNAcentral.